GACGAACGCUGGCGGCGUGCUUAACACAUGCAAGUCGAACGCUGAAGCUCAGCUUUUGUUGGGUGGAUGAGUGGCGAACGGGUGAGUAACACGUGAGUAACCUGCCCCCUUCUUUGGGAUAACGCCCGGAAACGGGUGCUAAUACUGGAUAUUCACUGGUCUUCGCAUGGGGGUUGGUGGAAAGGGUUUUUCUGGUGGGGGAUGGGCUCGCGGCCUAUCAGCUUGUUGGUGGGGUGAUGGCCUACCAAGGCUUUGACGGGUAGCCGGCCUGAGAGGGUGACCGGUAAGAUUGGGACUGGGAUACGGACCAGACUCCUACGGGAGGCAGCAGUGGGGAAUAUUGCACAAGGGGCACAAGCAUGAUGCAGCGAAGCCGCGUGAGGGAUGGAGGUCUUCGGGUUGUGAACCUCUUUCGCUAAUGGUCAAGCCGCAACAAUGGUUGUGGUGAGGGUAGUGGGUAAAGAAGCGCCGGCUAACUACGUG
RNAcentral lists this ribosomal RNA (483 nucleotides) under uncultured bacterium. RNAcentral describes it as "partial 16S ribosomal RNA". It matches the Rfam family "Bacterial small subunit ribosomal RNA", at positions 28 to 507 of the family's 1533-position model. The record is from RNAcentral.